RNAcentral lists this long non-coding RNA (5786 nucleotides) under Capsicum annuum. RNAcentral describes it as "long non-coding RNA (CANN_LNC010134)". The record is from RNAcentral. Lineage: Eukaryota; Viridiplantae; Streptophyta; Magnoliopsida; Solanales; Solanaceae.
GAAUGAUGAAGACUCACAUCUAGUCUGUCUGCUAAACGGCUGAUCUACUAAGGGUGCUCUAGAGCUCGUACUUCUGAACCUACGGUAUAAAACACUAUAGUGCAAAUACGUCAGUAUGAUUGAAUAUAUUGGUAUGCAAGUGAGGUAGGCUGAAUGCAAGGGGUUUAUAUGCAUGAAUAGUACUAACUGACUGAAUAUCAUGAGCGUGAGAAUCCAUGCAUGAAUACGUGAACUUUGACUAAGAUCAUGACAUCACUGAAUCUGAAUACUAAUAACAUAAGUUUCGUAUAACUUAUCUACUAUUACUUGAAUGGUUGUUUCUAACAGUCCUUUUUCUGAUAGAACUAACUGAGUUUCGUACUAAAAUGGGUGACUGUAUCUGUCAGUCCUGGAUUUUGUAGAAUUAUUUGAGUUCUAUUACUGAGACUGAGACUGUAACUAUGGGAAUUAGUAAUCUAACUGACAUGCCCCAAAUAAGAUAAUAUAAUUGAGUUGGGGUCUAAUCUGUAACCCCAAUUAGAAGGGUGUCAAUAUCGCAUCACUGGUAAAGACAAGCUGUGAGUAAUCCCUCAUCUAACGAGUACUCUAAUGGGACCCUCAUAUAACAGGUUAAUCUACCUACAACUAGUAGGUUUGAUGUAUCAACUUAUGCUAACUAUGUAGUUCUGAAGUGCAAGGACUAUUUCUAAGAAUCACACCCUCUAAUAACAGGUGAGUUCCCAUCCUUGGACUCACUCAGUGCUGAAUCCUACUCCCAUCUGAAUAGACACUGAACAUGAUUAACUAAACUGUGCUGGACUACAUUCAUUUAGUUUCGUUGACUGACGGAACACUAUCGAGAUUACUGAAUUUCUGAGAUUACUGUGUUUACUAAGUUUUUCUGAGUAGCAUGACUGACUGAGUUCUAUGAAUCAUGGCUUAAAUGAGAGUAUCUGGAAAACAUGACACUGGCUCUAGGCAUAUAGCUAAAUUAUCGAGUAUAAGUACCCCCUGGACUUGAUAGUAUGAAACUGACAAGACAUGACACUUCUUAACACAUGACCAUAGUCAACAAUUCAUAGUACAAUCAUUGGGGAUUUUCAUGAAGUAUUUGCAUGCUAUAAACUUACGCAUAAAUAGAAAUACAUGUAAACAUAUCAUAAUUUCAUAAGCCUAAUCUCAUGACCAUUACUUCAAUCCAUUACAAAGCAUAACAAUAACGUGUGAGUCAUAGGAAGAGACAUGGAUUCAUUAAUUUUGGUCGCAAAUGAGUCAUAAGGCAUAAUUCCAAUUCUCUUAGGCAUUUUAUCAAACACCUUGCAUGCAUAUCUUUAGGCUUAGGCAUCAAUAUUGAAAUAAUACUUUAUGGCAACAUUUUACACUUUCAAUGCAAAAAUUUCAACCAUAUACUAACAUAUUUUCAUGAUAGUCAUUAAAGAUUUCAACUUGGAAAUCAAACAACAACAUAAAUAUGGAUAUGAUUCAAUUCAUACCAUAGAAUCCAAAAUUUAUAUUUCAAAUAGGGUUUCUUGAGCUUUGUGGGUGAAAGAAACCCAUGAAUCAACAAUUGACAUACCUGGGUGGAUGAUUUCUUGAAGAUUGGUAGAGUAAAGCUUGAAGUCUUGACUUGGGAUUAGACACCUAGGUUUUCUUGUUCUUGGGGAUUGAUCUUUGAGAGAAACCCUAAUUUGGUGUUGUAGUUGAAUAAUGAAGUUAUGAGGUCUGGUCUGGAAUAAUUAAGGGUUAAAACGAUUGGAAAAAGACCCAAAUACCCUUUUAAAAAUGGCUUAAAAUCAUUGAUCGAAAGUGGCGACAGUUUGGGCAACGGUCCAUCACUGGCUCGUCGAUCCAUCCCAUCGUACUUAGCCAAAACCUAAACUUCCUGCCUAGUCUAUGACGGUUUGGGCAACAGUCCACCGCUAGCUCGAUGGUCUGUCGGUAUUAACCAUCGCACUUGUCCAGAUGAUGGGUUCACUACCUUAGUCGCGAUGGCUUGGGCGACGAUCUGUCACUAGCUCGAUGGUCCGUCGGCCUGACCAUCGCUUCUGGGUGGUUUUCAUAGCUCUCUGUAAAAUGUCCAUAACUUUUUACUUCGAUACCGAAUUUAGACGAAAUUGGUAUCAUUGGAAAGCUAAUUCAAUUUUUCACAUGAUAAAAAGUCAAAAUUGGAAAAAUUCUAUCUGAUUUAAAUAUUAAUUAUUUAGGUAGUCAUCACUAACUCUUAUGGAAACAAGAUUUGACUUAAAGAAAGUUCGGGAUAUUACAAUAAGAAUGGGUAUUAAGAAAUUUUUCUAUCGACUUAGAAUCAAAUAAGUGCUCACAUGAUACCGUCAUUUGAAUUGUGACAUUCUACUUCUUCGAAUCAUGUUGAGAUAAUAGGUAUUCCUCAAGUAAGUAGAGAAUGUAUAUAGUUUGGAUUGUGAUACUUUUAAUCAAAGUAAGAUGAGUCUUGAAGUGUCAAGGUAUUAUCCACGGUCCUAAAUAAAUGUAUGCAAAGCCCAAUUAAAAGGAGUUUUCAUAAUUAAAAAAAAAAGAUAAAAUGAAAUAUAUUUUACCAAAAUUAUCCUUCCUACGUAAUCUCCAAAAGAAUGGUAAAUUAAGAAGAUGGUAUACAAGACUGAAAUAUAGGGACUUGGAUGAUUGAAUCUUGAUCUUCAUCAAAGGGAGUAAAAUGCUCAUUUUACUUUUUUCCCCUUUAUCAAGGUUUUCUUUCAAUGAAUUUUCUUAAUAAAGUUUUAAUGAAACAACUAGCAAAACAUAUUAUAAGAUAUGCAUACUUUUUCUCUUUACUAGAUUUUUUUCAAUGUAUUUUAUUUUAAUAAAUUUAACGAGACAUAUAAUCUAUUAGUGAACAUCGAAGGGGGAGUGUUGUGAAUACUCUUAAUUAUGAAUAUCCAUUUAUUAAUCACCACCACAGCUUACAAGCAAAUUACAAGUAGCUUUGCAAACAAGUUCUUACAAAUACUUCCUCAGUUUCAAAAUAAGUGGCACUUUUAACUCAUUUCACAUUCAUUAAAUAAAAUAAAUAAAAUAGAAGAAGUAGUUUACUAAGGUAUCCGCAUUUAUUAGUUACUGUAUCUUUAAAAUUGAAGACUAUUAAGAAAAAGCUCUUUAAUGCAAGAGUAUAGUUGUAAAAAUGUAUUAAUUUUUAUAUUGAAUCUAUUGUAUGGUAUGUGCUAGACUAUGAUGAAAGUGACACUUAUUUUAUAACAUUUUUUGGCUAAUGUGUCACUUAUUUUGAGAUUGAGAAAAUAACUUACAAGUAACUUUACAAACAGAUUUCUACAAGCAGCUUAAAGUCAUUUUGCAAGCAGAUUUCUAUAAGCAGCUUAAAAAUAGGUUUGCAAAUAGUGUCCUGCUUCUAUUAUUAUGUAAAUUGAAAGACAAUUCAAUUAAUUUGUAUGUCAGUUUCAGUAUUAAAAAAUAAUGUCUCUCUCGCUCUAAAUUUAUCUCUGUCUUUCAAAUGUAUUUACUUUAUAAUUUUUAUUUUAUAACAUAUUAAAUAUUUUUCUUAAAAUAUGAGUUACGUCUUUAAAAAAUUAUAAUAUGGACCAAAAAUACUACAACAAUUAGAGUAAAAAAGAUGAACUCGCAAUACAUUUGAAUUAAUGAGGGUCAAAGAUAAGUUCAUUAAGGGUUUCUUGGGAAAGGUAGAACUUCUUAGUUUUACAAAAUCAAAUAAAAUCUUACAACUUAUUUAAGAUUUCAUAAUUAACAUUAAAAUAUCAUAUACUCUAAUACUUAUUUUAACAUCAAGUCAAACAUAUUCUCUUAGAUUAAAUAAUUACUUGCAAUAUUUUUUUUUCUACUUUAUUUAAAAAUUAUACAAGCUAAUAGAUUUAAAUUAUAAAUAUUUAUUUAUUAACAUUUUAUAUAGAAUCAUACGAAGAAACAAAAGAUACUAAUUAAUACAUAAAUUGAUUUUAAAUCCAUUUAGAUUCGUUUAUGGUUGUUUAACAAACAAAAAUAAGGACCUACUGGAUGAACAUUUUAAUAAAUCAUAAUGUUAAAGGAUUGCCUUUAUGUCUUGUCUUAUAUAAAUUAAAAAUAAGAGAUCAAUUUAAUAUAGUAAGUAAGAAAUUUCUUUUUAAAUAAGCUGUCUACAUGAUGAGACAAUUUACUACCUCAAAUAAAGAGAAGCAAAAGAAUUAACAAGCUUUAACAUGAUCUAUAUUUUAGUAAUUUAACAUGAGAUAGUUAAUAUUACAUUUUAAAUAAGUUGUUUAAAAUAAUUUUAAUAGGUGCUGAGUAAAUAAUUACGUUUUCAUAAAUUAAAUAUAGUGCAAAUCUUUGUAAUGAUAUGUAUCAUGUGAAGUUGUGAAAUUAUGGAGGAAUCGCUUAUUGUGUUUGAUAGAUAAACACCUAUUCAAAAUUAAUGAGUAUUUUUUAUUAUCUUACUAUAAUAUUUUAAUAGUUAUUUAUGCAAUUAAAUGUGUGGCCAAAAUUACUUUCACAUUUUUAUUUUUUUAUGAAACAUAUGUGAGUAUUUGCACACCCUUCUAUAAACUACGUCACCCAAUAUUUCAAUUUAUAUAACCUUGAGUAAACAUCGAAUUCAAGAUACGUGAAAAAACUUCACAAUAUUUAUUCUGUGAUUUUGGAUAAGAGGAGAGAAAGUUUGUCUAAAUAUCAAAAUUAAAAAAAAAAAUUAAAUGGAACAAACUUCAAAUAUAAUUUCUCUUUAAAUUUAAAAUUAUUCUUUUCAUUUGAUUCAAGUAUAUUAUUUAAAUAAAUAAGAAAAAAAGAAGGGAUAAUAGUUCAAAAAAUACCUGUCCUUUGAAUAAAUUUGUAGUUGCGCAUACUGAACUUUGCGGGGGUCCUAUGACACCCCUGAACUAUUUAAAACUGAAAUUAUAAGACCUCUAAAGGCUGACAUGGCAAAGAGAGUGUGUCUCACUUCUUUAAGAGAGUGAGCACCAAAAAAUUAUUGAAGCUUUAUUUUUAAUAUAUAUAUAUAUAUAUAUAUAUAUAUAUAUAUAUAUAUAUAUUAAGUUCUUUCUUCUUUCUUUCACCAUACCCAAAAUCUCUCCACCACCACCCACCAAUGCAGCAGUAGCCACCAGCGUCAUCUCCGCCAUUUGACCACUUCUUCACCUUCUUUCAUUUUCCUCCCAUAUAAAUCUUCAACCUUUUCUCUUUUUUCAUUGCCCAAUUUUUUUUAAAAUCUUGUCAAAAUUUUAAGAAUUAAGAAUCUAACAUCAAAAAAAUUAAGAAUCUUUAAAUUAUGAACUUCAUCUCACUUAUCACAAUGAUGAUAGUGUAAUUUUUGAAUCUUCAAAACCCACCAUCAAAUUCUAAAUUACACCACAAAAAUAUUACCUUCAUAAUUCAAAUUAUGAAUUUUAUCUCACCCACCAUCACCACCCCAUUAGCUGUCACUGCCACUGCCACCCCUACUCUCACCCUCUCUUAUCAAAUUUGGAGUGGAAUUAAGAAAUUAAAUCUAAUGAAGAAGAAAUUGAAUAGUAGAAAUCUCUAAAUUCAAGUCAAUCUUUGCUAGAUGUGUAUUGGUGAAUUUAUCAAAUUGUAAACAAAUUCUAUCAUUAUUGUACUUAUUCUUCUUGUACGAUCAUAAAUUCAACAUCAAUUUUUGUAGUUUAUAAAUUAAAAGGAAAGAAAAGAAACAAAAAAGAUUGGCAGGUGGAUAUUCACGUUUUGAUUUCUGAAAUUGAAGAAAAUGAUAGAAAGAGAAAGAAAAAAGAUUUAAUGAGUAUUUUCAUUUUGACUUUUGAGAUUAAAGAAAACAAGAUGAAGAGAAAGGGAGAAAAGAGUUUGAGAUUAAAGAAAAUAAGAUGAAGAGAAAGGGA